Molecule: transfer RNA, 58 nt
Filed under: Cavia porcellus (domestic guinea pig)
Lineage: Eukaryota; Metazoa; Chordata; Mammalia; Rodentia; Caviidae
Rfam family: tRNA
About the family: Transfer RNA (tRNA) molecules are approximately 80 nucleotides in length. Their secondary structure includes four short double-helical elements and three loops (D, anti-codon, and T loops).
Source: Rfam by way of RNAcentral
UAGCUCAGCGGUAUAAGCACCUGCCUGGUAAGCAUGAAGUCGUGAGUUUGAUUCUCAC